This 253-nucleotide ribosomal RNA is filed under the name uncultured bacterium. RNAcentral's name for it is "partial 16S ribosomal RNA". It matches the Rfam family "Bacterial small subunit ribosomal RNA", at positions 524 to 776 of the family's 1533-position model. The record is from RNAcentral.
UACGUAGGGGGCAAGCGUUGUCCGGAAUUAUUGGGCGUAAAGCGCGUGUAGGCGGCCUUGCAAGUCGGGUGUGAAAUCCCUCAGCUUAACUGAGGAAGUGCGCCCGAAACUGCAGGGCUUGAGUACCGGAGAGGGUGGCGGAAUACCCCAAGUAGAGGUGAAAUUCGUAGAUAUGGGGUGGAACACCGGUGGCGAAGGCGGCCACCUGGACGGAUACUGACGCUGAGACGCGAAAGCGUGGGGAGCAAACAGG